RNAcentral lists this transfer RNA (83 nucleotides) under Coprinopsis marcescibilis. Its description in RNAcentral is "tRNA-Asp". It matches the Rfam family "tRNA". From Rfam's summary of the family: Transfer RNA (tRNA) molecules are approximately 80 nucleotides in length. Their secondary structure includes four short double-helical elements and three loops (D, anti-codon, and T loops). Further hydrogen bonds mediate the characteristic L-shaped molecular structure. tRNAs have two regions of fundamental functional importance: the anti-codon, which is responsible for specific mRNA codon recognition, and the 3' end, to which the tRNAs corresponding amino acid is attached (by aminoacyl-tRNA synthetases). tRNAs cope with the degeneracy of the genetic code in two manners: having more than one tRNA (with a specific anti-codon) for a particular amino acid; and 'wobble' base-pairing, i.e. permitting non-standard base-pairing at the 3rd anti-codon position. Lineage: Eukaryota; Fungi; Basidiomycota; Agaricomycetes; Agaricales; Psathyrellaceae. The record is from RNAcentral.
UCUUUGUUAGUAUAUCGGUUAGUACACGCGCCUGUCAUUCAUGACGACCGCGCGAAAGCUGGGUUCGACUCCCAGACAGAGAG